AUAAAUAUCAACUCAAAGGAAAGAUCGGAGUUGGGGAAGAAAUAUCAAUCACGGGAAGGCAUAUCCUCUGAGAUUCACAGGAACGUGAUCGAAACUAUGCUGUGUAGCUACGUAAAGUGAACCAACGCAUUGAUCGAACUCCAAAGUUUCAAUACCUGCUUUAGAGCUCUGCUGAUUUUGCUUCAUCGUGCACCGGCGACCGAUCGCAUCGGCCAUGAACUGUCUUCAAAACCUUUCAAUAUCAUCUUCUCUUCCCUUCCGGAGCUUCAAAUGCCGACAGAGAAAGCCUGAAUUCCAGCUCUCUAACCUGGUGAUAAGAAACUUUACUGAUCUACAUCGACGUUCUUCCAUGAAGGCAGUGUCUGGUUCUACAUCAAGUGCCGAAACGAGUGGUACAGAAGUGGACGAUGCCGAGGAAAAGGAGGAAAAAUCUGAAAUAUAUAGCCAUAACAUGACAGAAGCUAUGGGUGCUGUAUUGACAUAUAGGCAUGAGCUGGGAAUGAACUACAACUUCAUUCGUCCAGAUUUAAUUGUAGGAUCAUGCCUACAGACUCCAGAAGAUGUUGACAAGCUCCGCAGCAUUGGAGUAAGAACAAUUUUCUGCUUGCAGCAAGAUCCAGAUUUAGAAUAUUUUGGGGUUGACAUUGGUGCUAUAAUAGCAUAUACAAAGACGUUUGAUGAUAUUGAACAUUUGCGAGCUCAGAUAAGGGAUUUUGAUGCAUUCGACCUACGACUAAGAUUACCAGCUGUUGUAAGCAAAUUACAUAAAGCCAUAAACCGAAAUGGUGGAGUGGCUUACAUACAUUGCACUGCUGGACUUGGAAGAGCUCCCGCUGUUGCGAUGGCGUAUAUGUUUUGGGUUCAAGGCUACAAACUCAAUGAGGCGCUAGAAUUACUGCUGAGCAAACGCUCAUGCUUCCCAAAAAUAGAUGCUAUUAAAAGUGCAACUGCCGACAUACUUUCAGGAUUUAAAAAGAAGCCUGUUGCUUUAUCUUGGGAAGAUGACCAAUGCUCAACUGUAGAAGUAGCUGGACUUGAUAUUGGAUGGGGCCAGAGGAUUCCAUUAAAAUUCGACGAGGCACGAGGUGCAUGGAUUCUCAAUAGGGAACUCGCGGAAGGACGAUAUGAAUACAAGUACAUUAUCGAUGGUGUAUGGACGUGCAACGAAAACGAGCUUGUCACUCCACCAAACAAAGAUGGCCACAUCAACAAUUUCAUUGAAGUUGUUGAAGAUGAUGAUCCAGGCAGUGAUAGAGCAAUUCUUCGAAGAAGGUUAACUGGAGAUGAACCAGAACUCACGGCUGAAGAAAGAAGCAAAAUAAGGCAAUUUCUUGAAGCUUGUCCAGAUGAAAUUUGAAUGAAGCUUCAGCCAAAUCUGCAUCCAUGGCUUUCAACAAUGUGAUGUUAAAGAAUCUAGACCACAUGAAGUCCUGACGUUCUUCAAGUGGAUGCUGCUCUUCUAGUGCACCCGAACGUGGAUUUAAGUAAACCAUUCUACGCCCACUAUGGUACGCCCAUACAUUUAUCAGGAUUUCCAACAUCCGACAAUAGCAUUGCCUUCUCUGCGGAUUAAAACAAAAGCACGGGUUGGCAUCACCCAACUAUGCAGAGAAGACCAGAGAUCGCCAUCAUCAGGCAUUGGAGGAAGAGCUUCCAAAUGUGAUGGUGGUAGUCCAUACAUAUGCCUAAAGGCAUUUUUAAAUGUAGAACUGUAUGGAUGUAUGGAUGUAAUUUUAAGUGAGAAUAUCUUUAAAGUUGCAUCCGUUAAUAUAUAAUUUUAACAUCUAAUGCAAAAUUUGGAAGUUGAUGUAGUA
RNA transcript from Cucumis melo (muskmelon), 1814 nucleotides. It is a transcript of the gene named phosphoglucan phosphatase DSP4, amyloplastic, with no coding region annotated. Lineage: Eukaryota; Viridiplantae; Streptophyta; Magnoliopsida; Cucurbitales; Cucurbitaceae. The record is from RefSeq and is a predicted model, not a curated record. The transcript is spliced from 16 exons.